CUUGGGCAAUGGGGGCAACCCUGACCCAGCGACGCCGCGUGAGUGAGGAAGGUCUUCGGAUCGUAAAGCUCUGUCGGAUGGGAAGAAAUGUAUGGGAGUGAACAGCUUUCAUGCUUGACGGUACCAUCAGAGGAAGCACCGGCUAACUCCGUGCCAGCAGCCGCGGUAAUACGGGGGGUGCAAGCGUUGUUCGGAAUCAUUGGGCGUAAAGGGCGUGUAGGCGGCUGGAUAAGUCAGAUGUGAAAUCCCUGGGCUUAACCCAGGAAGUGCAUUUGAAACUGUCCGGCUUGAGUGAGGGAGAGGAAAGUGGAAUUCCUGGUGUAGAGGUGAAAUUCGUAGAUAUCAGGAGGAACACCGGUGGCGAAGGCGACUUUCUGGCCCUAUACUGACGCUGAGACGCGAAAGCGUGGGGAGCAAACAG
This 421-nucleotide ribosomal RNA is filed under the name uncultured bacterium. Its description in RNAcentral is "bacterial SSU rRNA". It matches the Rfam family "Bacterial small subunit ribosomal RNA", at positions 363 to 775 of the family's 1533-position model. The record is from RNAcentral. RNAcentral also lists the same sequence under 1 other name.